RNAcentral lists this ribosomal RNA (440 nucleotides) under uncultured bacterium. Its description in RNAcentral is "partial 16S ribosomal RNA". It matches the Rfam family "Bacterial small subunit ribosomal RNA", at positions 338 to 795 of the family's 1533-position model. The record is from RNAcentral.
CCUACGGGUGGCAGCAGUGGGGAAUAUUGCACAAUGGAGGGAACUCUGAUGCAGCGACGCCGCGUGAGUGAAGAAGUAAUUCGUUAUGUAAAGCUCUAUCAGCAGGGAAGAAAGUGACGGUACCUGAAAAAGAAGCUCCGGCUAAAUACGUGCCAGCAGCCGCGGUAAUACGUAUGGAGCAAGCGUUAUCCGGAUUUACUGGGUGUAAAGGGAGCGUAGACGGCAGCGCAAGUCUGGAGUGAAAUGCCGGGGCCCAACCCCGGAACUGCUCUGGAAACUGUGAAGCUGGAGUGCAGGAGAGGUAAGCGGAAUUCCUGGUGUAGCGGUGAAAUGCGUAGAUAUCAGGAGGAACACCGGCGGCGAAGGCGGCUUACUGGACUGUAACUGACGUUGAGGCUCGAAGGCGUGGGGAGCAAACAGGAUUAGAUACCCUGGUAGUC